GUCCGUGUGGAGCAAAUCUGGCAACUCGCUCCCCUCCAGUGAAAGCUUUGGCAGAGCCUUGGAUAAUUGGGAGAGUUGGUGGUUCGAAUCCACCCGCGGACA
Molecule: non-coding RNA, 102 nt
Organism: Mycena filopes
Lineage: Eukaryota; Fungi; Basidiomycota; Agaricomycetes; Agaricales; Mycenaceae
Source: the annotation of a GenBank genome assembly